This 207-nucleotide ribosomal RNA is filed under the name uncultured bacterium. RNAcentral's name for it is "partial 16S ribosomal RNA". It matches the Rfam family "Bacterial small subunit ribosomal RNA", at positions 568 to 774 of the family's 1533-position model. The record is from RNAcentral.
UGUGUAGGCGGUUCUUUAAGUUUGGUGUGAAAUCUCCCGGCUUAACCGGGAGGGUGCGCCGAAUACUGAGGGACUAGAGUACGGGAGAGGAAAGUGGAAUUCCUGGUGUAGCGGUGAAAUGCGUAGAUAUCAGGAGGAACACCGGUGGUGUAGACGGCUUUCUGGACCGACACUGACGCUGAAACACGAAAGCGUGGGUAGCAAACA